GUGGUAGCAUGCUUGCCUAGCACAUGCAAAGCCCUGGGUUCCAAACCUAGUUGUGCAAAAAAAAAAAAGAAAAAGAAAAAGAAAUGGUGAAUCCUGUUGUGGACAUGCUGAGUUUGAGACGGGUUGGUGGCCCCACAUGAAGAGCAGUUGGAUGUUUGAACUCAGGAGCUCAGGAGCAGGCUGUGAGUUGCAGACUCAGACCUGAAGAUCAGCACCAUGUGGAGGAGGAGAAACCACAGGAAGGGCUUCAGCAGAACAGGAGCAGGGGCAGAGUCCACGAAGGAACUCUGAAGAGCAUCCACACUGAAGGGAUGAGAAAGGUAAAGCAGACAGGGAAACAGAGGCCGGGGGACCCAAGCUGUGUCAUGAAGCCAGGAAACUUUCAAAAUGGCUGGAAUGAAGAAAACAAAGGAUUUGCUGGGAUUGACGGGGAGGUCAAGUUGGAUAACUAGAGAUGCACCUCAACACAGGGUGGAGUUCCUCCCCAACAAGCCCAUCAUACGUUUACGAUGUUGAAGGUCAAGAAGGCAUUUAACGCUGGUGGUCUCCCUCUGCUAUGGUGGCUGCCUGGGAGGUGUGGCCUCCUGCCACUGCCCAGCAUCUCAGGAGAGUAUUGGACUUCAUGUAGCUAGGCUGGGAAAAGAUCAAAAUGCAAAAGGCAAACUAUGGUUUUUACUAAAUGUCGAUUACUUUGCACCAUCGUAAAGUCAAAAACUUGUAA
RNAcentral lists this long non-coding RNA (721 nucleotides) under Marmota monax (woodchuck). Lineage: Eukaryota; Metazoa; Chordata; Mammalia; Rodentia; Sciuridae. The record is from RNAcentral.